GGAGGUGUAGCUCAGUUGGUGGGGUGCAUGCUGAGCUUGCAUGAGGUCCUUGGUUCAAUUCCCAGUACCUCCA
This 73-nucleotide transfer RNA is filed under the name Camelus bactrianus (Bactrian camel). It matches the Rfam family "tRNA". From Rfam's summary of the family: Transfer RNA (tRNA) molecules are approximately 80 nucleotides in length. The record is from Rfam by way of RNAcentral. Lineage: Eukaryota; Metazoa; Chordata; Mammalia; Artiodactyla; Camelidae. RNAcentral also lists the same sequence under 2 other names.